RNAcentral lists this long non-coding RNA (330 nucleotides) under Elaeis guineensis (African oil palm). Its description in RNAcentral is "long non-coding RNA (EGUI_LNC028173)". The record is from RNAcentral. Lineage: Eukaryota; Viridiplantae; Streptophyta; Magnoliopsida; Arecales; Arecaceae.
AAAAAAAAACAGAUAACAGGGGAGAAGACUCCCGAAGGGAGUCUUCUUCCUCCUCUCGUCGGCUCCCAAUCAGAGUCGGAGAUGAGUUCCCUCCGGCUCUAUUUAAGGAGGAGAACCCUCCUCUCUCCUCUCAUCAAGAAAUCCUGGGGCAAAACGGCGGCAAUCGUCGGAAAUUCCUCACGGAGACCCGUCGCUGUGCCGUCCAAUUUCUCGUCGGAAAAGCUUCGCCGGCGACGGAGGUAAGCCUCCUCCUCUUCCUCUCUUCUCCCCCUUCCUUCCCGUGCCGAUGUGCACGCUCGUCGGCGAUCGGAGUCGUCGGAUUUUGUUGCG